UAGGACUCUCGGCAAUGGAUAUCUUGGCUCUUGCAUCGAUGAAGAACGCAACGAAAUGCGAUACGUGGUGCGAAUUGCAGAAUCCCGUGAACCAUCGAGUUUUUGAACGCAAGUUGCGCCUGAGGCCAACUGGCCAAGGGCACGUCCGCCUGGGCGUCAUGC
RNAcentral lists this ribosomal RNA (162 nucleotides) under Calochilus robertsonii. Its description in RNAcentral is "5.8S ribosomal RNA". It matches the Rfam family "5.8S ribosomal RNA". From Rfam's summary of the family: 5.8S ribosomal RNA (5.8S rRNA) is a component of the large subunit of the eukaryotic ribosome. It is transcribed by RNA polymerase I as part of the 45S precursor that also contains 18S and 28S rRNA. The record is from RNAcentral. Lineage: Eukaryota; Viridiplantae; Streptophyta; Magnoliopsida; Asparagales; Orchidaceae. RNAcentral also lists the same sequence under 50 other names.